This 425-nucleotide ribosomal RNA is filed under the name uncultured rumen bacterium. Its description in RNAcentral is "bacterial SSU rRNA". It matches the Rfam family "Bacterial small subunit ribosomal RNA", at positions 354 to 776 of the family's 1533-position model. The record is from RNAcentral.
GUGGGGAAUAUUGGUCAAUGGACGAGAGUCUGAACCAGCCAAGUAGCGUGCAGGAUGACGGCCCUAUGGGUUGUAAACUGCUUUUAUACAGGGAUAAAGUUCACUACGUGUAGUGUUUUGUAGGUACUGUAUGAAUAAGGACCGGCUAAUUCCGUGCCAGCAGCCGCGGUAAUACGGAAGGUCCGGGCGUUAUCCGGAUUUAUUGGGUUUAAAGGGAGCGCAGGCUGAUGAUUAAGCGUGACGUGAAAUGUAGCCGCUCAACGGCUGAACUGCGUCGCGAACUGGUUAUCUUGAGUGAGUUCGAUGUUGGCGGAAUUCGUGGUGUAGCGGUGAAAUGCUUAGAUAUCACGAAGAACUCCGAUUGCGAAGGCAGCCAACAAGGCCUUUACUGACGCUAAAGCUCGAAGGUGCGGGUAUCGAACAGG